GCACGCCGUGGGCCAGCGGGUUGAGGUCCGGGGCCUCCUCGCGGUCCGCGAUGGCCUGCACCGCCUGUUCGAACAGGGCGAUCUGCCC
This 88-nucleotide transfer RNA is filed under the name Novacetimonas hansenii. RNAcentral's name for it is "tRNA-Glu". The record is from RNAcentral. Lineage: Bacteria; Pseudomonadati; Pseudomonadota; Alphaproteobacteria; Acetobacterales; Acetobacteraceae.